CCAAGCUAUACAUGUUAAGAUCCUUUAACCUUUCCUGGUAGGUUUUAUCCUGCAAUCCAUGAACCAGUUUAGUAGCCCUUCUCUGAACCCUCUCUAAGGUAUCAAUAUCCUUCUGAAGAUACGGUCUCCAGUACUGUGUACAAUACUCCAAAUGAGGUCUCACCAGUGUUCUGUACAAUGGCAUGAGCACUUCCCUCUUUCUACUGCUAAUACCUCUCCCUAUACAACCAAG
Pelobates cultripes (western spadefoot toad) is the source of this 232-nucleotide non-coding RNA. NCBI's taxonomy places the organism in Eukaryota, Metazoa, Chordata, Amphibia, Anura, Pelobatidae. The record is from the annotation of a GenBank genome assembly.